RNAcentral lists this ribosomal RNA (706 nucleotides) under Cortinarius sp. TN04-1106. Its description in RNAcentral is "eukaryotic LSU rRNA". The stretch from base 300 to 453 matches the Rfam family "5.8S ribosomal RNA". Lineage: Eukaryota; Fungi; Basidiomycota; Agaricomycetes; Agaricales; Cortinariaceae. The record is from RNAcentral.
UAGAGGAAGUAAAAGUCGUAACAAGGUUUCCGUAGGUGAACCUGCGGAAGGAUCAUUAUUGAAAUAAAACUGAUGGGUUGUUGCUGGUUCUCUAGGGAGCAUGUGCACACUUGUCAUCUUUAUAUCUCCACCCUGUGCACCUUUUGUAGACCUGGAUAUCUCUCUGAGUGCUAGUCACUCAGGUUUGAGUAUUGACUUCAUGUCUUUUCUUACAUUUCCAGGCCUAUGUUUUUCCAUAUACCCCAAUGUAUGUCUUAGAAUGUAUUCAAUGGGCCUCUGUGCCUAUAAAAUCUAUAUACAACUUUCAGCAACGGAUCUCUUGGCUCUCGCAUCGAUGAAGAACGCAGCGAAAUGCGAUAAGUAAUGUGAAUUGCAGAAUUCAGUGAAUCAUCGAAUCUUUGAACGCACCUUGCGCUCCUUGGUAUUCCGAGGAGCAUGCCUGUUUGAGUGUCAUUAAUAUAUCAACCUCUUCAAAUUUUUUGUUUGACGAGUGUUGGAUGUGGGGGACUGCUUUGCUGGUCUAAACAGGUCAGCUCCCCUGAAAUGCAUUAGCAGAACCAUUUGCAGAUCGUUCAUUGGUGUGAUAAUUAUCUACGCUAUUAACGUGAAGUAGUUCAGCUUCUAACAGUCCAUUGAUUUGGACAAUUUUCAUUAAUGUGACCUCAAAUCAGGUAGGACUACCCGCUGAACUUAAGCAUAUCAAUAA